GAAUGUAUAGCUUAAGUGGUGGAGCACAUGCUUAGCAUGCAUGAGGUCCUGGGUUCAAUCCCCAGUACCUCCU
RNAcentral lists this transfer RNA (73 nucleotides) under Camelus bactrianus (Bactrian camel). It matches the Rfam family "tRNA". From Rfam's summary of the family: Transfer RNA (tRNA) molecules are approximately 80 nucleotides in length. Lineage: Eukaryota; Metazoa; Chordata; Mammalia; Artiodactyla; Camelidae. The record is from Rfam by way of RNAcentral. RNAcentral also lists the same sequence under 2 other names.